AUGUAGGUAGCGCGUCAGAGUUUACGUCAUCGGGGGGUAGAGCACUGGAUGGGCUAGGGGGAUUCAAACUCCUACCAAACCUAACCAAACUCCGAAUACCGAUGAACGCGUCUCUGGCAGACACACGGCAGGAGCUAACUUCUGUCGUGAAGAGGGAAAAAACCCUGACCAUCGACUAAGGUCCCCAAGUCACAGCUAAGUGGGAAAGGAUGUGAGGAUCCCAAAACAGCCAGGAUGUUGGCUUAGAAGCAGCCAUCAUUUAAAGAAAGCGUAACAGCUCACUGGUCUAGAUAAGGGUUCUUGCGCCGAAAAUGUAACGGGGCUCAAGCUGUGCACCGAAGUCAUGGAUUUGGUUCGUCUGCGGACGAGCCAAGUGGUAGCGGAGCGUUCCGUAAGCCUGUGAAGGUGGUCCGGUGAGGACUGCUGGAGGUAUCGGAAGUGAGAAUGCUGACAUGAG
Molecule: ribosomal RNA, 457 nt
Filed under: uncultured bacterium
Lineage: Bacteria
Description: bacterial LSU rRNA
Rfam family: Bacterial large subunit ribosomal RNA
Source: RNAcentral